RNAcentral lists this ribosomal RNA (101 nucleotides) under Photobacterium sanctipauli. Lineage: Bacteria; Pseudomonadati; Pseudomonadota; Gammaproteobacteria; Vibrionales; Vibrionaceae. The record is from RNAcentral.
AUUAUGGACCCACCUGAUCCCAUGCCGAACUCAGCAGUGAAACGUAAUAGCGCCGAUGGUAGUGUGGGGCUUCCCCAUGUGAGAGUAGGACAUCGCCAGGC